This is a long non-coding RNA of Dromaius novaehollandiae (emu), 4199 nucleotides long. RefSeq lists it as uncharacterized. The transcript has 12 exons. Lineage: Eukaryota; Metazoa; Chordata; Aves; Casuariiformes; Dromaiidae. The record is from RefSeq and is a predicted model, not a curated record.
AGGGAGUGUUCAGAGAUGCGAAUGUGCUGCCUAGGGAAGAUUGGGCUGAUCUGACAAGUGGUGUAAAGCUUGUCCCAAGAAUCGGUUUAUGUAUGUCCCAGAAUACAUCCAUGUAUAUAUGGCCUGGAGCUGGAGGAGCCCACGCAGCCCUGGUGGAUUGCGCAUUGCAGGCCUCCUAGGGACAGUAACGGUUAAGUAUUCUUCUUGCAGUGGAAAGAAUUGUUUCAUUGACUGUUGAGUUUGAUAAGGGAGUACUCAUUGCUGCAGCACAGCUCCAGCCUAGGACUAUUGACAUGGAGCUUUAUGUAUGGAGCGAGAGGGAGAAGAGGACUGGGAGGCAAUUUUCAUUUGAAAGCACUCAAAUGUAGUAUGUUUUAGAUUUGUUCCCUAGCAGAGGUAAACUCUCCAAAUCAGAAAAGACCUAAAGAGUUUUCAGUUUAAACUGGAUUUUCAGAAACCAGAGACAGUUGAAAGCUAUUGCUAUUAGCACAGCAAAGCAAUGUCAGAAGAGGGAAAUGAUAGAAGAAUGGCUCGAUCAAUAGGAGACUGUGAAAGGAGAUGGCUCAAUUUUUAUUGUUUUUUUUUCUUGGUAUUCUAGCUACUGUGUUCAUAUUGUGAAAUUAAGAUACAUGCAGCUCCUAUUUAUAAUGACUUAGGGACGGUUUUAUGCUUUGGAUUUACUUGAAUCACAGAUUUAACCAGGUUAAAUAAAAAGAAAAAGGGGAAAAUUGCUUUAGCUGAUUUUAAUCCACUUUGAAUUGGUUAUGAGACUCUGUGCUUCUUGCACUGUGUCAUACAAUGAUCGCAUCUGUGGCUUGAGAUGGAUCUGCUUACACCUUUCCCUUGUAGUAAGUGCCCUAAAAGGCUUUUAAAUACAGAAAGCCAGGAUUUAUUUGAAUUGUGAAAAAACCCAAAAUGCAUCUUUUAAAACAGGGUAAGCUCAACAGCUAGGGAAGACAGAGGAGAAGCAAAGAGGUUUGUGAACAACUCUGCCAUUGCCUUCUCCAUUUUUAGUGAGUCCUGGCUUCUAGCCAGCUCAGUGACUUUCUGAGUGGCAGUAAAUCCUGCAGCUUUCCCUCUGGUCCAUGGGAAGUCCCUUCUCUCCCCCUGAGGCCUGUUUGUCUGCUCCCUCUCCUCUCUGCAGCCUUGUCUUCCUGAGCUGCAGGCCUUCAGCUCCGUGCUGUGCUGCUCUUGCUUGAUGCAGCCUCGGGAACCUUUUUUCCACUGGGCUUGCUCAGAAGACCCUCAGGAGACGAGCUGUCUCUCCUCUCACACACACAUUUAAGAAUGAACCACAAACUCCGAACAAAUGAGUAAUGUAGAUGGCAUUCACUGCAGACAUUGUUGCUGAAAAGAGACUCGUGAGCAUAAUGUGAACACUUUUUCAUUUGUGUAAGGUUUCAGGCUAUCCUGUUCAGUUUUGCCACGGGUUUUCAAAGUUGAUGUUUUUUUUCCCUUUGUUGUUCUCCAGCAAUACUUACAAAAGGAUACUGGAAACUACGCCAUACGUGAAGAGAGUUGAAAAUUAUUACUGUCUGACAAAAAUGAGAGCUUGGUGUUUUUCCAGCACAGCUCUUCAGCCCUUCCCAAGUUAGAAGUUAUUCAGCCCCAUUAGAAAUGCAACCUUUCCUGAUGUAUAAUAAAGGAGAGGUUUUAUAUCAGGGCUCAAACAAAACCUGCCUGACUUACCACAGUUUAAUGAGGUUCCAUGCCUCAGCUAAGCUGCAGUUAACCAACCGUGAACUGCAUGUGCACUCUUUGAAUGUUUCAAGCAUGAAGAAACAUCUUAAAUCCCAGUGAAAAAGGUGCAAGCCCAGGUAUGUCACAUCCGUGAUGGACUAAGCGCAGGUAAGUGGUGGGUUACUGUGACUCAGCCGACAGCACAUCUUGCUGUGCUGCCAUAACUCCAGAUGUGUGCUGGGACCCUUGGUAAUAAUUGCCCAAAUGCUCUUUAAUAGAGGAAGCUGAAAAGUUGAACAUAAAGGAUUUUUUUUCCCAGGCGGAAGAGGUCCAGGACAGUUUAAUAUCCCAACUCCUGUGCGAAGUUACACAAGUUAUUUGAUAACCAUAUGUGGUUAAGACCUCAGAUUUGUGUACCAUGUGAAAGAUGAAACUUCCAGUAAUAUACUUUCCCCCCUACCACUAGGUCUGAGCAUUAAAAACAACAAUCAGAGCAAAAAAUGUACUGCUGCCACCACUCCUCACAGCACCAACAUUUUUCUUGGCUAUCCUUCUCCUGAAUAAUGCUCAUCUCCAAUCCCGUUUAUUUUGAGUACUUUAAAGCCACAAGGCGACAUAAGCAAAUGCCAAAUGUACGAAUAUUAAGUCCCAUACAAACUACUUUUACCAAAUAGGGUCAUUCUUUUUCCUCAGAAAGCUUCCCUCUCUUCUGUCUUCAGAUUCAUAGUAGAUAAUCAAACAGUCCAACAGCCAAAAAGUCUUGAAGAGUGAGGUGGACAGUAAGAAAGCAAUUAGAGCAGUAUGAAACAAUUUUAUCGUCUGAAAAGAAUCCUGGAUUCCUUCUGUUACCUGUUGAGCAGAUCCAGCAAAGCAGCAGCAAACUAUCAUAGCAUCCUUCUGCUGGAGAGUUCACCAGGGCAUCACACACCAGAGACUAGAUACCUCUGAGAGUCUGAGACAUUUCCUUGAGGCUGUCAAACAUAUCAAAGGACCUGUGGGAGACCUACCCUCUUGGAACGUAGCUGGAAGCCAGACCAACUGCCUGUGCUUGGGUUUGACCUACCAAAAUGAAGCUCCGAAUGUGAUGUACCAGAGGGGAGAAUAUGCAAAGGAAGAAAGAGUGAAUUACAUGAAGAUGUCAUUGUUAGAGCUGCCCGAAACAUCUGUGAUGUUCAAGAUCAUAUGUGUUUGCCAGACUGUGUUAGGAUGGGGUCUGACUCAAUACCGUCUGACAGUAUAAGGUGGAUAAAGUAGAAGUUCAAAAAUACUACUUCCAGCUGUAGGAACUAUCACUGUCAUCUGUGCUGACGAGCAGGGCGAUGUGGUGGUGAGCGCCUUGAAGAGCUCUGUGUCGAGCUGACAGUUCUAACUGAACCAGUGACCGGCUGAACUGGAUGAUUGCUUCCUUCUUUUUUCUGGUGCUCAUCCUACUGAUCUCUGCACAACUGCUACUCCAGCAUCUGUGUGGAUCUGGUAUUCCUCCAUUGAUCCUGAAUCAAACUAUUUCAGUUUUUUACCACCUGCAGCUGAGAGUGACUAUGGUUCACCAUACUGAUGGGCUUUCAGGUCAGUUCUGCAUCAAAACUGAGUAAUUGGUUCAGGCAGACCAGACAUUCGCCUUUCCAUCUAGAACUGCCAAAGAGACCCUCCCCGUCUGAAGGACACAGCUUCAGUCUUUGAGCUCGCAACAGCCCUGACUUGGCCCAUUUGCUGAAGACAACAUGGAGACGAUUCUCCCUCUUGGGACACCAACACUGACAGGCAAAUGCCUGGCAGAGGCGAAUGACGAGAGAGAAAUAUUGCAUGUCACCCCUGACGCGGAUGCUAGCAGGAGGAAGCUCGGAGGGGCCAAGAAGAGGAAUGAAAGAAAUUGAAUUUGGGUCCUGCAACACCAGCACCAACUAGGAUUCAGCUCUUCUGCACUGUCCGAGCAAAAAGAUAACUGAUUGACUGAAAGAUAUUGACUUUGAUAUUGACUUUGAUAUUGACUGAAAAGAAUUCUCACAUCCAACAUGACUGCAAGACUUCCUGUUUUUCCUUCACGAGCUUUCUUCUUCAAGUUGAAGUCGAAAGGAGAAGUAUUUGCCAGCAGGACGGAUCCUUUCCUUUGCAAAAUGUUCUUUCAUUCUGGAUUCUGCACGGCAGGAGAUCACACUGAUGGGAAACAUGCCAAAAUUUUCCAGAAUCUCAAAGCCCAAGUGGAGUAAAGAGAUAUUACAUUUCCAUGAUUCAGAAAGCAAGUAUUUUCAUGGAAUAAGGAUCAAUCUGUUUCAAUCACAGUGGAUCACCCAGCUGCAGAGGACCCCCCACACUUGCUUUGUAAGAACCAUGGCACCGGAGGUAGCACUAUGGACAGUCCAAAGCCCAGUAUAUAACGUGAGGGUCAUGGUUUCCCUGAAGAAAACUGAACUCCACAAGACUGCCAGGUCUCAUCUUUGUCUACCCUUCUUCUGGAAGUCUAGAAACUUUUUGGAACUGAACCAUCAGGCAGUUCAAGACAUACUAAUCUUUUAAUACAU